RNAcentral lists this ribosomal RNA (497 nucleotides) under uncultured bacterium. Its description in RNAcentral is "partial 16S ribosomal RNA". It matches the Rfam family "Bacterial small subunit ribosomal RNA", at positions 28 to 507 of the family's 1533-position model. The record is from RNAcentral.
GAUGAACGCUGGCGGCGUGCCUAAUACAUGCAAGUCGAGCGAACAGACGAGGAGCUUGCUCCUCUGACGUUAGCGGCGGACGGGUGAGUAACACGUGGAUAACCUACCUAUAAGACUGGGAUAACUUCGGGAAACCGGAGCUAGUACCGUAUAAUAUAUUGAACCGCAUGGUUCAAUAGUGAAAGACGGUUUUGCUGUCACUUAUAGAUGGAUCCGCGCCGCAUUAGCUAGUUGGUAAGGUAACGGCUUACCAAGGCAACGAUGCGUAGCCGACCUGAGAGGGUGAUCGGCCACACUGGAACUGAGACACGGUCCAGACUCCUACGGGAGGCAGCAGUAGGGAAUCUUCCGCAAUGGGCGAAAGCCUGACGGAGCAACGCCGCGUGAGUGAUGAAGGUCUUCGGAUCGUAAAACUCUGUUAUUAGGGAAGAACAAAUGUGUAAGUAACUAUGCACGUCUUGACGGUACCUAAUCAGAAAGCCACGGCUAACUACGUG